RNAcentral lists this ribosomal RNA (803 nucleotides) under uncultured Alphaproteobacteria bacterium. RNAcentral describes it as "bacterial SSU rRNA". It matches the Rfam family "Bacterial small subunit ribosomal RNA", at positions 35 to 886 of the family's 1533-position model. Lineage: Bacteria; Pseudomonadati; Pseudomonadota; Alphaproteobacteria. The record is from RNAcentral.
GCUGGCGGCAUGCCUCAUACAUGCAAGUCGAACGAGGUUUUCGGACCUAGUGGCGCACGGGUGAGUAACAUGUGGGAAUCUACCUGAAGGUUCGGAAUAACUGCGGGAAACUGUAGCUAAUACCGGAUGUGUCUGAAAAGAGAAAGAUUUAUCGCCUUCAGAUGAGCCCGCACUAGAUUAGCUAGUUGGUGAGGUAAUUGCUCCACCAAGGCUACGAUCUAUAGCUGAUUUGAGAGGAUGAUCAGCCACACUGGGACUGAGACACGGCCCAGACUCCUACGGGAGGCAGCAGUAGGGAAUAUUGGACAAUGGGGGAAACCCUGAUCCAGCAAUGCCGCGUGAGUGAAGAAGGCCUUCGGGUUGUAAAACUCUUUCAUCAAUGAUGAUAAUGACAUUAGUUGAAGAAGAAGCUCCGGCUAACUUCGUGCCAGCAGCCGCGGUAAUACGAAGGGGGCUAGCGUUGUUCGGAAUCACUGGGCGUAAAGCGUAUGUAGGCGGAUCAAAAAGUUAGAUGUGAAAUCCCUGGGCUCAACCCAGGAACUGCAUUUAAAACUAGUGAUCUAGAAUUUGGUAGGGGUUAGUAGAAUUUCCAGUGUAGAGGUGAAAUUCGUAGAUAUUGGAAAGAAUACCAGUGGCGAAGGCGACUAACUGGGCCAUUUUUGACGCUGAGAUACGAAAGCGUGGGUAGCAAACAGGAUUAGAUACCCUGGUAGUCCACGCAGUAAACGAUGAGUGCUAGUCGCUGGGACAUUAGUUUCAGUGUCGACGCUAACGCAUUAAGCACUCCGCCUGGGAAGUACGGU